GGAUGAGCCUGCGUCAGAUUAGCUUGUUGGCGGGGUAAUGGCCCACCAAGGCGACGAUCUGUAGCUGGUCUGAGAGGACGACCAGCCACAUUGGGACUGAGACACGGCCCAAACUCCUACGGGAGGCAGCAGUGGGGAAUAUUGGACAAUGGGGGAAACCCUGAUCCAGCGAUGCCGCGUGUGUGAAGAAGGCCUGCGGGUUGUAAAGCACUUUCGAUGGGGAAGAAAGAGUCAAGGCUAAUAUCCUUGAAUGUUGACGUUACCCAUAUAAGAAGCACCGGCUAACUCUGUGCCAGCAGCCGCGGUAAUACAGAGGGUGCAAGCGUUAAUCGAAGUUACUGGGCGUAAAGCGUGCGUAGGCGGAUACUUAAGUCGGGUGUGAAAGCCCCGGGCUCAACCUGGGAAUUGCAUUCGAUACUGGGUACCUAGAGUAUGGUAGAGGGAAGUGGAAUUUCCGGUGUAGCGGUGAAAUGCGUAGAUAUCGGAAAGAACAUCAGUGGCGAAGGCGGCUUCCUGGACCAAUACUGACGCUGAAGUACGAAAGCGUGGGGAGCAAACAGGAUUAGAGACCCUGGUAGUCCACGCUGUAAACUUUAAGAACUAGGCGUUAAUGCUGUUAUGCAGCAUUAGUGCCGAAGCUAACGCGUUAA
This 650-nucleotide ribosomal RNA is filed under the name uncultured bacterium. RNAcentral's name for it is "bacterial SSU rRNA". It matches the Rfam family "Bacterial small subunit ribosomal RNA", at positions 223 to 863 of the family's 1533-position model. The record is from RNAcentral.